This is an RNA transcript of Mus pahari (shrew mouse), 578 nucleotides long. It is a transcript of the gene named 40S ribosomal protein S7 pseudogene, with no coding region annotated. The record is from RefSeq and is a predicted model, not a curated record. The transcript has a single exon. NCBI's taxonomy places the organism in Eukaryota, Metazoa, Chordata, Mammalia, Rodentia, Muridae.
AUGUUCAGCUCGAGCGCCAGGACUAUGAAUCCUAAUGGCAAGAAGCUGGAAGAGUUCGAAUCUGGCAUCUCUCGGGCGCUGCUCGAUCUCAAGGUGCAGCUGCAGGAAUGAAAUUGAAGUUGGUGGUGGUCGGAGAGCUAUCAUAAUUUUUGUACCAGUUCCUCAGCUUAAAUCUUUCCAGAAAAUCCAAGUCCGGCUAGUUCGUGAAUUGGAGAAAAAGUUCAGUGGGAAGCAUGCAGUCUUCAUUGCUCAGAGGAGGAUUCCGCCCAAGCCAACCCAGAAAAGCCAUAAGGAAAAUAAGCAAAAGCACCCCAGAAGGCGCACCCUGACAGCAGUGCACGACGCCAUCCUUGAGGACUUGGUCUUCCCAAGUGAAAUUGGGGGGAAGAGGAUCCCUGUGAAACUGGAUGGCAGCCGGCUCCUAAAAGUUCACUUCGACAAAGCACAGCAGAACAACGUGGAACACAAGGUCGAAACUUUUUCUGGUGUGUAUAAGAAGCUCACAGACAAGGAUGUUAAUUUUGAAUUCCCAGGGUUUCAGUUGUAAAGAAAAUGACUGAAUAAAGUGUCAUUCAUAG